AUCAAUAUUUCACAGCUCAGAUCCUUUUAACCAGCCUGAACGAGAAAAUUCCUCCGCUGCAGCUUCCUGAGCACCGAUCACAACCUCUAAACCUCUAGAAACCUCCGAGUUCAGAAACAGGAGCUUUAAACAUCCACACAAACCUCCUGUCUUUACAUCGGACCGCACAUAAAUCGAGGUUAGUUUCAUUUUUCUACAUCAACAGACCCAGAAACAGAGCAGAGACCACAGUGGAAGUCUUCAGGGUUGUUUCCACCUCGUCUCAAGCAGCAGGAAGAUUAUUCAAAUGAGACCAACAACAGAUUAAAAAGCUGCUGGAGAUGGGAUUUCUGAACAACACAGUCACGUCGGUGUUCCUCUGAUCUGACUGGGAGGUUUGAGUGGAAAAUAACAGGAGAAAAGCCCAAAACCUGAAUCCUGACAUUCACAGAGGGAAAUAAAAGACGCCUGUAAACUAUGAAGACAUUAAUGAGACCCGGCCUAUUCACUUAUGUCCUUUAUAAUGGACAUUAUGUUCACCUGUAUAUUUCUGAAGUAUUUGGAGUUACCCUUCCAAGCCCUAUUGUAUUCUGUAGGGAACAUCCUGGGCUUUCCAGUGAUGUGUCAUGUGAUGGGUUUGCAUGCUGGGAACUUUACUUUUUUCCUGUAUCAAGAUGGCUGCUAUACCAGCAACCACAUUUUAUGGAAAGAGGAGAGGUAAGUCAAAUAUUCAUUAUCUAUUGCUAUUUUUACCAUGAUAACUAUAUAUAUUCUUGUUCAUAAACAUGUUAAGAACAAUAUUUUUACAUCUGAAAACAGUUUCGUUAUUUAUGUUUUGAAAUAACAGGCCUUUAAUGAAUGUCAACUGUGGUGGACACCAGGACUAUUUUAAUGUAAUCAAUGACUGCAUAUUGUUGUAGGAGAAAGAAGUGAAGCAGAGAGGAUUCUAUACCAGAUAGUAGAGGGAGAUUCAGAUUUGGAGCUUUCAGAUGAGGAAAAGGAUGCAGAAGAUGAGUAUCAGCCUGUGACAGAUGAUGAUGAAGAAGGAGAAGAAGAAGAUGCAGGAGAAUCUGAUGAGACAGAGUCAGAGCCAGAGAGGGAGCAACAAAGUCGUCGUGAUCUAUGAUCCAGGACUAGCUUAUUGACACCUGUGCUACCUGUGCUUCCUGGCUAUCAAGAUGACCCUAAAAUUCGUGAAUACUGGAGUCCAAUCCAGUACUUUUCACAGUACAUUGAUGACAAAAUCUUUGAGGAUCUGGCAGCUUUUACAAAUCAAAGACAGCUGCAAACUUUUUGUUCAAAUUGAAUGUGUUCUUGGGUGAAUAUCAUUGUAAAGAUAUAAUAUGCUCCUUUUUUUCUCAUUUUCUACAUUCAGUUCUAUUUUCAGGCCGAUAUCGUCCUGCUGUCCUCUACAAUGGACAUGCUGUGAAAUUAAAAUAAAAAAUAUUUUUCAAAAAAUGAAAA
This is a long non-coding RNA of Amphiprion ocellaris (clown anemonefish), 1443 nucleotides long. RefSeq lists it as uncharacterized. The transcript is spliced from 2 exons. NCBI's taxonomy places the organism in Eukaryota, Metazoa, Chordata, Actinopteri, Pomacentridae. The record is from RefSeq and is a predicted model, not a curated record.